ACGAACGCUGGCGGCGUGCUUAACACAUGCAAGUCGAACGGAAAGGCCCUGCUUUUGUGGGGUGCUCGAGUGGCGAACGGGUGAGUAACACGUGAGUAACCUGCCAUUGACUUUGGGAUAACUUCAGGAAACUGGGGCUAAUACCGGAUAGGAGCUCCUGCUGCAUGGUGGGGGUUGGAAAGUUUCGGCGGUUGGGGAUGGACUCGCGGCUUAUCAGCUUGUUGGUGGGGUAGUGGCUUACCAAGGCUUUGACGGGUAGCCGGCCUGAGAGGGUGACCGGCCACAUUGGGACUGAGAUACGGCCCAGACUCCUACGGGAGGCAGCAGUGGGGAAUAUUGCACAAUGGGCGGAAGCCUGAUGCAGCAACGCCGCGUGCGGGAUGACGGCCUUCGGGUUGUAAACCGCUUUCGCCUGUGACGAAGCGUGAGUGACGGUAAUGGGUAAAGAAGCACCGGCUAACUACGUG
RNAcentral lists this ribosomal RNA (467 nucleotides) under uncultured bacterium. RNAcentral's name for it is "partial 16S ribosomal RNA". It matches the Rfam family "Bacterial small subunit ribosomal RNA", at positions 29 to 507 of the family's 1533-position model. The record is from RNAcentral.